UACGGAGGGUGCAAGCGUUGCUCGGAAUUAUUGGGCGUAAAGAGCGUGUAGGCGGUCAGGUAGGUCCGUUGUGAAAACUCGAGGCUCAACCUCGAGACGCCGAUGGAAACCAUCUGACUAGAGUCCGGAAGAGGAGAGUGGAAUUCCUGGUGUAGCGGUGAAAUGCGCAGAUAUCAGGAAGAACACCCGUGGCUAAGGCGGCUCUCUAGUACGGUACUGACGCUGAGACGCGAAAGCGUGGGGGAGCGAACAGG
Molecule: ribosomal RNA, 254 nt
Filed under: uncultured bacterium
Lineage: Bacteria
Description: partial 16S ribosomal RNA
Rfam family: Bacterial small subunit ribosomal RNA
Source: RNAcentral